Long non-coding RNA from Gasterosteus aculeatus aculeatus (three-spined stickleback), 3373 nucleotides. The record is from Ensembl. Lineage: Eukaryota; Metazoa; Chordata; Actinopteri; Perciformes; Gasterosteidae.
AUGCUGCUUUGUGAAUAAGGUUUUGCUUCGGGUUUAUAUGACCCGCUGUGAUGACGGCAUGAAUAAAUGCAGUAACAGCAGCGCAGCGGCGUGAGUGUGGAGAACAGAACUGGCUUUUGGCUGCAGACAUUUAGGAGACUUAGAAAGCUUUAAACGAUGGAAACGCGUUGACCUCCACUGAACUGUUUGUGACGCGCAUCUUAGGACCGUGAGUCAUAAAGUAAUUGUUUUGUACACAGAUAUCAGCAUUCUAUCGUAUAGCGACUUGUGUGCUUUCGAUUUCUUUCGAUUUGUUGAGGCGGUCAAAUCUUGACAGGCUUCUAAACUCUGCCUUCGUUGUCGAACAUACGCCAUCACUGCAAUCUGUAGGCUCGAUCCGCGUCAAAAAGACUCUUGGACGAGUGUGAAGAAGAAGACGUUGAGCCGUGGAUGUCCUCUGUCUUCUCUAAGUGCCUCCGGGUCAGACGAGUGGACGCCGUCUUCCUAAACGAGAUGAACCAACAUAAACAGAUUCAGCAGAGAUGGAAACAGCGGCGGUUCUCUUUGCGCGUAGUGCCCUUGGGCUUCGGCCAUCUGGGGCCUGGGAAUGCACUAAUCCUAAAAUAAACACAUGCAGGUCGUGCCUCUGCGCAGCUUUGUCCCAGACGUCCCCACGUCUCGAAGUUUGGGGCUCGGGACGUCCAACCCGACACGCCUUCCCCUCAACAUUAGUUCGUCCGUUGAUUUUGAGCAAAGAUAGGGGAGGUCAAGACAACUGUAAAUAUGUCUCAUUCUCAUCUCAUUCCUCUGCGCCAUGAAGCUCCAUUGUUGUCAAUGAGUCAUGUGACCCGGGAAUAUUAUUCUGGAAAUUUGCUCACAGUAAAACACAACAACAACAAUUCACACUUCAAUAUACUGCGUUUUAGAUUUGGCAUAGAACGACGGUGUGUUGCAGAAAUAAAGCAACUAGAACUAGAAAGAGACUGUUCGGACCCUCUGACAUCACCUCAUCCAGUUGUUUUGGGUUCUGUUACUGAGGAACUGAAGUGAUUAAUGUGAAUACACGAGUGUGAUGCAUGCACUAGUGUUGCAUCACUUCCUCUCAGGUGUGCUGGCAGUGACACGUCUGUAGAACCACAAACUCAGGUAGUAUCUGCAGGUGCAUUUACUCCUGGACCGUACUAAAGUACAAAUUCACGGUACCUACAAUUUAGUCCAAAACACACAGAAAAUUGUUUUUGUUUGUUUUAGUGGUAUGAUUGUUUACUUUGUUGAUCCCAAACCAAUCAGUAAACAAUCAGUAUUAAUUAUUUAUGGGCUUAAAUAGUAAUUUGUACUAACAUGUCAUUUACACUCCCAUUAUCAUUUAAAGUGUUGAUAAUACAAUACAAAAAAAGACCCAAAAUGAUACCACGGAGAUCCAGAGGAAGCUGUGGUGGAGGAUGAGUUUGACCUUUCACCUCUGUGUCCGUGCUGUCAAACAUCAGCAUAAAUAUGUUUUCUGAGUAACACCAUCUGAAGAAAACAAGCUGCUUUGCUGCAAACAUUUACAUCUUCAGCAGCAGUCUGCACACCGUUUACACCAAGAAGACGUGUGGUGUUCCCCAAGGUUCAAUUCUGGAGCCUCUUCUGUUCCACCAGGUCAGCUUACUUUAGGAAACAAGGUGUGUUACACUGAACAUAACGGGCCCUUGACAAAUGCAUCAUGGGAAAGGACUCUUGAACUUGAGACUCAGCGUCUUAGUUCAGUUUGUUUGUUGCUCCAUCAGAUCAGAUCAUAGAAUGCAGAAAAAUGUAACUUUGAGUUCUGAGAGUUACAUUACAUUACAUGUCAUUUAGCUGACGCUUUUAUCCAAAGCGACGUACAAUAAGUGCAUUCAGCCAUAGGGUACAAACUCAGAAGAACAAGAAACAAGAAAGUGCAAUUUCCUCAAAUAAGCCAAUUUACAAUUUGCUAUAGAUGAGUGACGUUACAAGUACAAUUUAAGUAAUACAAUUUGUUAGUCUUUAGUUGAGGUGGAGUCUGAGUUGAGUCUAACACAACUGAAUGAGAAGAAACAGUUUUAAAAAAGAAACAAGUGACGUAUGAGAGACGAGAGGGACGAGGAAGUGACUCUUUAUCAACAAGAGGAAGUAGAUUCAUCAUUUGUCUUUAAGACGGAAGAAGCAGAGAGACGAGAGACGGAGAGGAACCAUGGCUGAAUUCAGAGGGAUUCAAACCUCUUUGUUCCUGAUUCUGAUGCUUCAGUUUACAGAAGCAGCAACAGAACAACGUCUCACUGUCAGAGAUGGAGAUGAAGUCACUUUGCCUUGUAACAGUGUGACUGAGGACCAGAACAACUGUGACUCUACCGAGUGGUACUUCUAUCAUUCAGGAAACAGAUCAACAAAUUAUCUGGUUACAAAAGGGCAGAUUGAUGAUGAAGCCAAAGCUGAAUCAGACAGACUGAGUGUUUCACAGAACUGUUCUCUGGUUAUGAAGAAGGUCACACGUGGAGAUGUUGGUCUUUAUGUCUGCAGACAGGUCAGACCAGGAGGACAUGAAGAUGCUAAGGUUCAUCUGUCUGUUGUUUCCAUGACUGAAGAGACGAACAGAGACGAGGUGACGUUAAACUGCUCUGUGUGGACGUAUGAAGGAUGUAAACACACAGUGAAGUGGAUGAAUGGUGGUCAAGAUGUGGACAAAGACAAAGAAGUGAAGACAUCACCGUCUCUCUGCUCCGCCUCUCUGUCCUUCAUGACUUCUCACUUCUUUUACACAUCAAGCUUCACUUCAUUGAAGUGUGAAGUGACCGAUGGAGACAAAGUGAUGCAGUUUCCUCUCAGGAAUUCUCCCCCAUGUGAUAUAACAGGUGAACACACAACAACAACAACAACUGAAGAGGACACAAAAGCAGGCGGGUGGAGGCUCGUCUCUGUGUCCGUUGGAUUAGCAGCACUCAUAAUAAUAGUUGUAGUCGUCAACAUGUGGAUUAGAAUUAAAGAGAGGAAAACACAGACGGAAGAAAACGCUGUGAGUCUUUAACAAGUUAACAAUGAAACGCUUCAUCGCUUCAUGACGUUCUUAUCUGCAGUAUUUCUUCACUCCAUCACGAGUCGCUUUAGAGCUUCUAGCAGCUAACGGUGCUAACGGCCCACCAAUGCUAGCAGAGCUAACACUUAGCGACUGAGCUCACAGUGUCCACAUGAGGGGGAACCGCAAGGUGGAUGCUACAUGGAGGGUGGAGCACGUCAGAGAGGUGGGGGUGUAAAGUGUGGCUUUGAUUGUGUUGUUUCUCACAGGUGCGUUAUGAUGCAGAAGAUGACACAGUGAACUAUGAAAACAUGAGACCUGCUGGUGGAGCACGUCAGAGAGGUGGGGGUGUAAAGUGUGGCUUUGUGUUGUUUCUCACAG